Molecule: transfer RNA, 70 nt
Filed under: Loxodonta africana (African savanna elephant)
Lineage: Eukaryota; Metazoa; Chordata; Mammalia; Proboscidea; Elephantidae
Rfam family: tRNA
About the family: Transfer RNA (tRNA) molecules are approximately 80 nucleotides in length.
Source: Rfam by way of RNAcentral
GCAUUGAUGGUUUAGUGGUAGAAUUCUUGUCUUCCAUGCAGGAGACCUGGUUAGAUUCCCAGUCAAUGCA